This 331-nucleotide unclassified non-coding RNA is filed under the name soil metagenome. Its description in RNAcentral is "partial contains 5.8S ribosomal RNA, internal transcribed spacer 2, and large subunit ribosomal RNA". The stretch from base 2 to 119 matches the Rfam family "5.8S ribosomal RNA", at positions 37 to 154 of the family's 154-position model. The record is from RNAcentral.
GUGAAGAACGCAGCGAAAUGCGAUAAGUAGUGUGAAUUGCAGAAUUCAGUGAAUCAUCGAAUCUUUGAACGCACAUUGCGCCCUUUGGUAUUCCUUAGGGCAUGCCUGUUCGAGCGUCAUUUAAACCUUCAAGCUAAGCUUGGUGUUGGGUGACUGUCCGCUUCACGGCGGACUCGCCUCAAAAUUAUUGGCGGCCGGUACAUUGGCUUCGAGCGCAGCAGAAACGCGAACUCGGGCCCGUCGUAUUGGCUCCCAGAAGCUAUCUUCACAAUUUUGACCUCGGAUCAGGUAGGGAUACCCGCUGAACUUAAGCAUAUCAAUAAGCGGAGGA